This 862-nucleotide ribosomal RNA is filed under the name uncultured Kingella sp. Its description in RNAcentral is "partial 16S ribosomal RNA". It matches the Rfam family "Bacterial small subunit ribosomal RNA", at positions 28 to 902 of the family's 1533-position model. The record is from RNAcentral. Lineage: Bacteria; Pseudomonadati; Pseudomonadota; Betaproteobacteria; Neisseriales; Neisseriaceae.
GAUGAACGCUGACAGAAUGCUUAACACAUGCAAGUCAACUUGAAUUUGGGUUUUUAACUUAGAUUUGGGUGGCGGACGGGUGAGUAACGCGUAAAGAACUUGCCUCACAGCUAGGGACAACAUUUAGAAAUGAAUGCUAAUACCUGAUAUUAUGAUUUUAAGGCAUCUUAGAAUUAUGAAAGCUAUAAGCACUGUGAGAGAGCUUUGCGUCCCAUUAGCUAGUUGGAGAGGUAACAGCUCACCAAGGCGAUGAUGGGUAGCCGGCCUGAGAGGGUGAACGGCCACAAGGGGACUGAGACACGGCCCUUACUCCUACGGGAGGCAGCAGUGGGGAAUAUUGGACAAUGGACCGAGAGUCUGAUCCAGCAAUUCUGUGUGCACGAUGAAGUUUUUCGGAAUGUAAAGUGCUUUCAGUUGGGAAGAAAGAAAUGACGGUACCAACAGAAGAAGUGACGGCUAAAUACGUGCCAGCCGCCGCGGUAAUACGUAUGUCACGAGCGUUAUCCCGGAUUUAUUGGGGCGUAAAGGGCGUCUAGGUGGUUAUGUAAGUCUGAUGUGAAAAUGCAGGCUCAACUUCUGUUUUGCGUUGGAAAACUGUAUAACUAGAGUAUUGGAGAGGUAAGCCGGACCUACCAGUUAGAGUUAAAUUUGUGCAUAUUUGGCGGAAUUGCCGAGGGGAAAGCAGGCUUAUUGGACAGUUCUGGCGCUUAGGGGCGGAAGGGGGGGGAGGAAAAAAGGUUAGAAACCCUGGACGCCAAGGGCGAUUUCCCGGGGGUUUUAUGUGUUGGGGCCGGGCGGCCCCGGCCCCCCCCCCUCUUAUUUUUUUUUUGCUGCCCGGCUCCCUAUCUCCUUUAGGGAAAAA